CCUUGACCCACCCUGCCUGGCCCUGCUCACUUCAGGUGUCCUUCUAGGAGACAGAAGAGAGAAGCAGAGAUGGGAAAUAUGCAGUGACCAAC
RNAcentral lists this long non-coding RNA (92 nucleotides) under Mustela putorius furo (domestic ferret). RNAcentral's name for it is "lncRNA (ENSMPUG00000024109.1)". Lineage: Eukaryota; Metazoa; Chordata; Mammalia; Carnivora; Mustelidae. The record is from RNAcentral.